UGGGAUGCAACUCAAUGGUAGAGCAUUUGCCUAGCAUGCAAAGGGCCCUGAGUUCAAUACCCAGCAAUACAU
RNAcentral lists this transfer RNA (72 nucleotides) under Mus musculus (house mouse). It matches the Rfam family "tRNA". Rfam says of the family: Transfer RNA (tRNA) molecules are approximately 80 nucleotides in length. Their secondary structure includes four short double-helical elements and three loops (D, anti-codon, and T loops). Lineage: Eukaryota; Metazoa; Chordata; Mammalia; Rodentia; Muridae. The record is from Rfam by way of RNAcentral. RNAcentral also lists the same sequence under 1 other name.